CCUACGGGUGGCUGCAGUAGGGAAUAUUGCUCAAUGGGGGAAACUCUGAAGCAGCAACGCCGCGUGGAUGAUGAAGGUUUUCGGAUUGUAAACUCCUUUUGUUAGAGAAGAUAAUGACGGUAUCUACUGAAUACUCACCGGCUACUCCCUGCCCAGCAGCCGCGGAAAUACGGGGGGUGCAAGCGUCACUCGGAAUCACUGGGCGUAAGGAGCGCGUCGGCGGGAUAGCAAGUCAGAGGUGAAGACCUAGGGCUUAACCAUGGAACUGCCUUUGAAACUGUUAGUCUAGAGUGUGGGAGAGGUAGGUGGAAUUCUUGGUGUAGGGGUAGAAUCCGUAGAGAUCAAGAGGAAUACUCAUUGCGAAGGCGACCUGCUAGAACAUAACUGACGCUGAUGCGCGAAAGCGUGGGGAGCAAACAGGAUUAGAUACCCCAGUAGUC
Molecule: ribosomal RNA, 440 nt
Filed under: uncultured bacterium
Lineage: Bacteria
Description: partial 16S ribosomal RNA
Rfam family: Bacterial small subunit ribosomal RNA
Source: RNAcentral